UACAGAGGUCUCAAGCGUUGUUCGGAAUCACUGGGCGUAAAGGGCGCGUAGGCGGCGUUUUAAGUCGGGGGUGAAAGCCUGUGGCUCAGCCACAGAAUGGCCUUCGAUACUGGGACGCUUGAGUAUGGUAGAGGUUGGUGGAACUGCGAGUGUAGAGGUGAAAUUCGUAGAUAUUCGCAAGAACACCGGUGGCGAAGGCGGCCAACUGGACCAUUACUGACGCUGAGGCGCGAAAGCGUGGGGAGCAAACAGG
Molecule: ribosomal RNA, 253 nt
Filed under: uncultured bacterium
Lineage: Bacteria
Description: partial 16S ribosomal RNA
Rfam family: Bacterial small subunit ribosomal RNA
Source: RNAcentral